Molecule: ribosomal RNA, 468 nt
Filed under: uncultured bacterium
Lineage: Bacteria
Description: partial 16S ribosomal RNA
Rfam family: Bacterial small subunit ribosomal RNA
Source: RNAcentral
GACGAACGCUGGCGGCGUGCUUAACACAUGCAAGUCGAACGGAAAGGCCCUGCUUUUGUGGGGUGCUCGAGUGGCGAACGGGUGAGUAACACGUGAGUAACCUGCCCUUGACUUUGGGAUAACUUCAGGAAACUGGGGCUAAUACCGGAUAGGAGCUCCUGCUGCAUGGUGGGGGUUGGAAAGUUUCGGCGGUUGGGGAUGGACUCGCGGCUUAUCAGCUUGUUGGUGGGGUAGUGGCUUACCAAGGCUUUGACGGGUAGCCGGCCUGAGAGGGUGACCGGGGACAUUGGGACUGAGAUACGGCGCAGAGUCGUACGGGAGGCAGCAGUGGGGAAUAUUGCACAAUGGGCGGAAGCCUGAUGCAGCAACGCCGCGUGCGGGAUGACGGCCUUCGGGUUGUAAACCGCUUUCGCCUGUGACGAAGCGUGAGUGACGGUAAUGGGUAAAGAAGCACCGGCUAACUACGUG